RNAcentral lists this ribosomal RNA (390 nucleotides) under uncultured bacterium. Its description in RNAcentral is "bacterial SSU rRNA". It matches the Rfam family "Bacterial small subunit ribosomal RNA", at positions 28 to 420 of the family's 1533-position model. The record is from RNAcentral.
GACGAACGCUGGCGGCGUGCUUAACACAUGCAAGUCGAGCGGUAAGGCCCUUUCGGGGGUACACGAGCGGCGAACGGGUGAGUAACACGUGGGUGACCUGCCCUCAGCUCUGGGAUAAGCCUGGGAAACCGGGUCUAAUACUGGAUAUGACUCCAUGACGCAUGUUGUGGGGUGGAAAGCCUUGUGCGGCUGAGGAUGGGCCCGCGGCCUAUCAGCUUGUUGGUGGGGGAUGGCCUACCAAGGCGACGACGGGUAGCCGGCCUGAGAGGGCGACCGGCCACACUGGGACUGAGACACGGCCCAGACUCCUACGGGAGGCAGCAGUGGGGAAUCUUGCGCAAUGGGCGAAAGCCUGACGCAGCGACGCCGCGUGAGGGAUGACGGCCUGGU